Molecule: long non-coding RNA, 553 nt
Organism: Cajanus cajan (pigeon pea)
Lineage: Eukaryota; Viridiplantae; Streptophyta; Magnoliopsida; Fabales; Fabaceae
Source: RefSeq, a predicted model, not a curated record
CAAAAAAAAAUAGCCUGAACCCAUCCCAGUUUCCUUUCUUCAGCUGGCCUUGGAGCACAAAACCAUAGUUACCGUUACGAGGUUUCAGCGAUGGCGAUCUUGCAGAGCGUAGCAUUCUACUAUGGCUACCAUACCAGUUAAUCCCAAGCCUUUUUUUUUAAUAUCUGUGAUUUAUCUCUGUAGCUGGCCAACACACAAGAGUACAUUGAGGGACAGUUUACUGGAAAUUUGGGAGAGAUUUUAAUCAGAUGUAACAAUGUUCUUUACCUUCGAGGAGUACCGGAGGAUGAAGAAAUCGAAGAUGCUGCAGAAGACUAGAGAGUGAUAAAUGCUGCUAAUUGUUAUGACAUAAACUGAACUCAAUUUUUUUUCACCGUUUUUGUAUUUUAGUUUAGAUUGUUGUUAUUUGUAGAGAUUCGAAUCUAUGAUGCACUCGCUUGUGAAUAGGAUAGGGUGCUUAUGUUCUAGUUCACGUUCCUUCAUGUGCUUCUCUGUAAAUCUCCUAAUGCAUUAUGGAUUUCAAAUAUUUCAAAUACGGGUGAGAUUGAGAUGA